Long non-coding RNA from Oncorhynchus gorbuscha (pink salmon), 2015 nucleotides. RefSeq lists it as uncharacterized. The transcript is spliced from 3 exons. Lineage: Eukaryota; Metazoa; Chordata; Actinopteri; Salmoniformes; Salmonidae. The record is from RefSeq and is a predicted model, not a curated record.
UGCUGAUGUUUGUGUAUACUUAGUCAAGCACGGCGAAUCCUCUUGUGGGCGAAGGAUACAUGUUGGUGAUAUUUGGGGAAAAUGUGUAGUUAGAUGAGCUUGGUUAAAGUCACAUUAAAAGGGUUCUUCCUGGCUAAUGAUCUUGUACCCUUCUCUGAGUGCCGCCUUGGUGUUUGCUUGUGGCGGGAUGUACCCAGCUGUGAUAAUAACACAUGUGAAUCCCCUCGGCAUAUAGUGGGGUCGGCAUUUUAGCAUCAGAAACUCCAGGUAGGCUUAACAGGAGCUUGCAAUGUUUUUUUCAACUUUGGUCCCCUUACUAGAACCCGCAAUUUCAAUACAUUCAGAAUAUGGAGAAGACGUCUGGUUGAAAUAGCAGAGUCGAGUGUGUAGUCCGUUAAGCCACGUCUUUAUAAAAGCAAAGCUACAGCAUUCCCUGAUGUCCUUCUGCAAUUGAAGCCUUGCUUUGAGUUCACACAUUUUAUUUACCAGUGAUUGGACUUGAGUCAUAAGGAUACUAGGAAGAGGUGGCCGUGUAGCCCGUCUUUUCAGCCUAGCUUGGAGUCCCUUUCCUUACUGUUCUUCGUCGCUGCCGUUGCCUUAGGUCAUCUUGGUAGGCAGCAACAGAUGACGGGUGGUGGGUAUUUUUGGCCUCCGUGCUGUGCACCUGCUCAUGGUGUUGUGAGUUGGAGAGAUGCUCCAGUAUUCUUUAAACACAACAUCACACUGAAUCUAUUCCAUCCUGUUUAGAUGUUCACAGUGUCAACUGAAACCACUGGAAUAUCAAAGAGAUGAACACUUCUACAUCAGCAAACUUCACCAUUGCUUCCACUGUCCAUUGGAAUCUCUACUCUGUCUUCGGAGUAACCAACAUCAUCCUGAGUCUCCCCACCAAUGUCUGUCUUUUGGCUGUAAGUGACCUAUCGGAAAAAACUGGUGGCCUUUAACUUCUUCGCUCUCAACCUGUCUGUGUCUGAGAUCCUCUGCUGCAUGUGCGCUGCCUUGAGUCAUCUGGACCAAUAUGUCCUUGGAAGUGUUAUACCACAAGCUAUUAAGUUUGCUGCAGGUCUACACUGGCCGGCCCCUGUCCCAGUCCUGUACCUGUGUGGAACACUAGCUGGCAGUGGUCCACACUGUGGUCUUCCUGAAGUACAAACCCCUGAGAUAGAAGAUAGCAUGCUCAGGGUUGGCUUGGCUGUUGGGGAUUGGGUCCUGCUUGACCCUUACAUUUCUUGCUCUAUACAAACAGGCUGCGUACUAUCACUUUGUAUUAGGUAAUUACCUGGUCUGGUUCUCUGUGAAGUUGUUCUGCUGUCUAGCAGUUCUGAGGGCACUGAAGCUCCCAAUGAUAUUGGUAAUACCAUUGCAAGAUUACUUAGCAGAACAGUUUGUAAUAGUAACUUAGCAGUCUCCACUGUAAUUGUAACUGUUUGCACAGCCUCUCCUCUACCUUCACAGGGCUUGGGAAAUUGCCUUCAUGAUCUGGUUUCAUGAUCUGGCUACAAGUUAUUUUCAAAAGUAAACCGAGUCAAGUUUGUAUAGAACAUGGGGGUUCAUGUUUUUUUAAAUAAAAUAACAAAGUAGAAUAUAAGCUUUUUAACUUAAUGAUUUUCCAAGUGUGAAGUAUCAUUUCUCGAACUUGUAAAGCAGCUAUUUACAAAUAAUAUGUUAUCAAAACAUUAUUAUUACAGCAUGUAUAAACAUUCACAACAAUGUAUACGCAUUUAUAAAGCAGUUAAAGACAAAUUGUUAAGAAAAAAAAUGAACUAAUAAUUAAACCGCAGCAGUAAAAUAACAAUAGAACCUCAACAGAAACUCAAACAGGAAGUAUCCGUGCUUAGGAAAAUUCAAUGCUGGUCUGACCAGUCGGAAUCCAUGUUUCAAGAUUGAUCACGCAGACCGGGAUGUGUUCCGGGUAGCCUCAGAGAAUAAUAUUGACUUACAGUUUAAGUCGAAAGUUUACAUACACUUAGGUUGGAGACAUUAAAACUUGUUUUUCAACCACUCCACACAUUUCU